GACGAACGCUGGCGGCGUGCCUAAUACAUGCAAGUAGAACGCUGAAGGAGGAGCUUGCUUCUCUGGAUGAGUUGCGAACGGGUGAGUAACGCGUAGGUAACCUGCCUGGUAGCGGGGGAUAACUAUUGGAAACGAUAGCUAAUACCGCAUAAGAGUAGAUGUUGCAUGACAUUUGCUUAAAAGGUGCAAUUUCAUCACUACCAGAUGGACCUGCGUUGUAUUAGCUAGUUGGUGAGGUAACGGCUCACCAAGGGAACGAUACAUAGCCGACCUGGGAGGGGAAGAGGCCACACGGGGACUGGGACACGGCCCCGACUCCCACGGGGGGCAGCGGUAGGGAAACUUUGGCAAAGGGGGGAAGUCUGACCGAGCAACACCGCGUGAGUGAAGAAGGGUUUCGGGUCGUAAAACUCUGUUGUAAGAGAAGAACGAGUGUGAGAGUUAAAAGUUCACACUGUGACGGUAUCUUACCAGAAAGGGACGGCUAACUACGUG
RNAcentral lists this ribosomal RNA (495 nucleotides) under uncultured bacterium. RNAcentral's name for it is "partial 16S ribosomal RNA". It matches the Rfam family "Bacterial small subunit ribosomal RNA", at positions 28 to 507 of the family's 1533-position model. The record is from RNAcentral.